Molecule: long non-coding RNA, 611 nt
Organism: Orbicella faveolata
Lineage: Eukaryota; Metazoa; Cnidaria; Anthozoa; Scleractinia; Merulinidae
Source: RefSeq, a predicted model, not a curated record
AGCAAAGAUGGCGGCUAGCUGUACGGGAAUGGGACAACGUGGGCAAGGAUUUCUGUGUAUAUGAAUGCUUUUCCCGUAAGCUGAAUCAGCCCAGCGUUAUAUACAUGAAACGGGACCAAAAAAGUGGUUACUUAAGAAGUUACUUGACUGAUUUAUCCAGUAGUGUCAACAACAUACACGAAGCUGGACUCUUCCAUCCACAAAAAUGGCAACUGUUAUAAAACUUCCGUGUGGGAGCUGAAGACAAAAUACCUGAGGACAAGACAGGAGGAGGAUACUAUUUACAAGCUUAUUUUAGAAUGAUGAUUUUUUUUUUUUUUUUGCAAUCCAGGAGCAGGUAAACACUUGUGUUCUUAUGUAAGGAUCAAGUCAAAACUGAACCUGGUUCCUUCAGGGGAAUCCCCCAAGGACAUCCCUGCAGGGUACCCAAGUCAUUAAAUUCUGCUGCAGAAAAAGAAUUAAAAUGCACCACUUUUUUUUCCUUUCUUAAUUAAUGCACUAUUAUUAUAGUAUCCAAAAAUAGUCAGAGAAAUUUUUGUUUCUCAAAAGCAGGGAAAGUUCAGGGAACAAAUGGAGAAGAUGGGAAGGUUCCCUUUUGUACUGUACCUUUG